Molecule: ribosomal RNA, 333 nt
Filed under: uncultured bacterium
Lineage: Bacteria
Description: bacterial SSU rRNA
Rfam family: Bacterial small subunit ribosomal RNA
Source: RNAcentral
AGAGUUUGAUUAUGGCUCAGGAUGAACGCUAGCUACAGGCUUAACACAUGCAAGUCGAGGGGCAGCAUGUUGGUUGCUUGCAACCAAUGAUGGCGACCGGCGCACGGGUGAGUAACGCGUAUCCAACCUACCCUUGUCCAUCGGAUAACCCGUCGAAAGGCGGCCUAACACGAUAUGCGGUUCACAGCAGGCAUCUAACGUGAACGAAAUGUGAAGGAGAAGGAUGGGGAUGCGUCUGAUUAGCUUGUUGGCGGGGUAACGGCCCACCAAGGCUACGAUCAGUAGGGGUUCUGAGAGGAAGGUCCCCCACAUUGGAACUGAGACACGGUCCAA